GAUGAACGCUGGCGGCGUGCCUAACACAUGCAAGUCGAACGGAGUUAUUAUUAUGAAGUUUUCGGAUGGAUUAAUAAUAACUUAGUGGCGGACGGGUGAGUAACGCGUGUGUAACCUGCCUCAUACAGGGGGCUAACAGUUGGAAACGGCUGCUAAAACAGCAUAGCAUUUCGAUGUCGCAUGACAAUGCAAUUAAAUAUUUAAAGGUAUAGGCUCGGCCCGCGUCGGAUUAGCUAGUUGGUGGGGAAAUGGCCUACCAAGGCGACGAUCAGUAGCCGGGUGAAGAGAGUGAACGGCCACAUUGGGACUGCGACACGGCCGAAACUCCUACGGGAGGCAGCAGUGGGGAAUAUUGCACAAUGGGGGGAACCCUAAUGCAGCGACGCCGCGUGAGUGAAGAAGUAUUUCGGUAUGUAAAGCUCUAUCAGCAGGGAAGAAAAUGACGGUACCUGACUAAGAAGCCCCGGCUAACUACGUGCCAGCCGCCGCCGUAA
Molecule: ribosomal RNA, 494 nt
Filed under: uncultured bacterium
Lineage: Bacteria
Description: partial 16S ribosomal RNA
Rfam family: Bacterial small subunit ribosomal RNA
Source: RNAcentral